Molecule: ribosomal RNA, 241 nt
Filed under: uncultured Lactobacillus sp.
Lineage: Bacteria; Bacillati; Bacillota; Bacilli; Lactobacillales; Lactobacillaceae
Description: partial 16S ribosomal RNA
Rfam family: Bacterial small subunit ribosomal RNA
Source: RNAcentral
UAACCUGCCCAAGAGAUCGGGAUAACACCUGGAAACAGAUGCUAAUACCGGAUAACAACAGAUGAUGCCUAUCAACUGUUUAAAAGAUGGUUCUGCUAUCACUCUUGGAUGGACCUGCGGUGCAUUAGCUAGUUGGUAGGGUAACGGCCUACCAAGGCGAUGAUGCAUAGCCGAGUUGAGAGACUGAUCGGCCACAUUGGGACUGAGACACGGCCCAAACUCCUACGGGGAGGCAGCAGGA